UGGAUCCAGACUUUGAUUAUGGCUCAGGAUGAACGCUAGCUACAGGCUUAACACAUGCAAGUCGAGGGGAAACGACAUCGAAAGCUUGCUUUUGAUGGGCGUCGACCGGCGCACGGGUGAGUAACGCGUAUCCAACCUGCCCACCACUUGGGGAUAACCUUGCGAAAGUAAGACUAAUACCCAAUGAUAUCUCUAGAAGACAUCUGAAAGAGAUUAAAGAUUUAUCGGUGAUGGAUGGGGAUGCGUCUGAUAGCUUGUUGGCGGGGUAACGGCCCACCAAGGCAACGAUCAGUAGGGGUUCUGAGAGGAAGGUCCCCCACAUUGGAACUGAGACACGGUCCAAACUCCUACGGGAGGCAGCAGUGAGGAAUAUUGGUCAAUGGACGAGAGUCUGAACCAGCCAAGUAGCGUGCAGGAUGACGGCCCUAUGGGUUGUAAACUGCUUUUAUAAGGGAAUAAAGUGAGUCUCGUGAGACUUUUUGCAUGUACCUUAUGAAUAAGGACCGGCUAAUUCCGUGCCAGCAGCCGCGGUAAUACGGAAGGUCCGGGCGUUAUCCGGAUUUAUUGGGUUUAAAGGGAGCGUAGGCCGGAGAUUAAGCGUGUUGUGAAAUGUAGACGCUCAACGUCUGCACUGCAGCGCGAACUGGUUUCCUUGAGUACGCACAAAGUGGGCGGAAUUCGUGGUGUAGCGGUGAAAUGCUUAGAUAUCACGAAGAACUCCGAUUGCGAAGGCAGCUCACUGGAGCGCAACUGACGCUGAAGCUCGAAAGUGCGGGUAUCGAACAGGAUUAGAUACCCUGGUAGUCCGCACGGUAAACGAUGGAUGCCCGCUGUUGGUCUGAAUAGGUCAGCGGCCAAGCGAAAGCAUUAAGCAUCCCACCUGGGGAGUACGCCGGCAACGGUGCAACUCAAAGGAAUUGACGGA
Molecule: ribosomal RNA, 925 nt
Filed under: uncultured Bacteroidota bacterium
Lineage: Bacteria; Pseudomonadati; Bacteroidota
Description: bacterial SSU rRNA
Rfam family: Bacterial small subunit ribosomal RNA
Source: RNAcentral